AAGGAUCAUUAUAGUAUUCUAUUGCCAGCGCUUAAUUGCGCGGCGAUAAACCUUACACACACUGUUUAUUCUUUUAUGAACUUUGCUUUGGGUUGAGCUUAGCUUAGCCCAGAGGUUAUAAACACAUUAUUUUCUAAUGUUUACAACAAUUAAAAACCUUUAGUCAUGAAAUUUUUUAUAAAAUAAAAAUCUUCAAAACUUUCAACAACGGAUCUCUUGGUUCUCGCAACGAUGAAGAACGCAGCGAAAUGCGAUAUGUAUUGUGAAUUGCAGAUUUUCGUGAAUCAUCGAAUCUUUGAACGCACAUUGCGCCCUCUGGUAUUCCGGAGGGCAUGCCUGUUUGAGCGUCAUUUCUCUCUCAAACCCUUGGGUUUGGUAUUGAGUGAUACUCUGUCAUAUGGGUUAACUUGAAAUAUUGAAACAGCAAGAGUGUAUUUGAUAGUACUCCUUCUGAAAUAAUGUAUUAGGUUCUUCCAACUCGUUAUAUCAGUUUGGCAGUUGCUUCAGGUAUUUUAGGCUCGGCUUAAUAACAAUAACAUAAAGUUUGACCUCAAAUCAGGUAGGAUUACCCGCUGAACUUAAGCAUAUCAAUAAGCGGAGGAAG
RNAcentral lists this small RNA (604 nucleotides) under [Candida] sp. ST-236. RNAcentral's name for it is "eukaryotic LSU rRNA". The stretch from base 197 to 350 matches the Rfam family "5.8S ribosomal RNA". Lineage: Eukaryota; Fungi; Ascomycota; Saccharomycetes; Saccharomycetales. The record is from RNAcentral.